UUCUGUUUUAGCUUUAAUCCAAUCUAGAGAAAACAUAAGAUCACGGAGUUCCUUCUGCAUGUUGGCACCAGCCAUGUGAUAUGCUAGAAAGUUAUACCAGUACAUACAGUCCUCUUGGGAUAGCACAGGCACAUGAAGCUUGUAAUAUCUCUUGUACUGAUUUACUAUAUUUUUAUGUAGUUCCUGAAGCUGGUUGCAAUUCUUCUCUGUAAGAAAGUCGAGUUGAAGAUCAUGUAAAUAAUAAUGAAAUGAAUUCCCAUUACGAUCGCAGAACAAUAGUGAUUUGUUAACAAAUUCCUGCAGUAUAUCUUCAACUUCUUCAGUUUCC
RNAcentral lists this long non-coding RNA (328 nucleotides) under Gallus gallus (chicken). The record is from RNAcentral. Lineage: Eukaryota; Metazoa; Chordata; Aves; Galliformes; Phasianidae.